UACGAAGGGGGCUAGCGUUGCUCGGAAUCACUGGGCGUAAAGGGUGCGUAGGCGGGUUCUUAAGUCAGAGGUGAAAUCCUGGAGCUCAACUCCAGAACUGCCUUUGAUACUGAGAGUCUUGAGUUCGAGAGAGGUGAGUGGAACUGCGAGUGUAGAGGUGAAAUUCGUAGAUAUUCGCAAGAACACCAGUGGCGAAGGCGGCUCACUGGCUCGAUACUGACGCUGAGGCACGAAAGCGUGGGAGCAAACAGG
RNAcentral lists this ribosomal RNA (252 nucleotides) under uncultured bacterium. RNAcentral's name for it is "partial 16S ribosomal RNA". It matches the Rfam family "Bacterial small subunit ribosomal RNA", at positions 524 to 776 of the family's 1533-position model. The record is from RNAcentral.